UCUCCGUUGGUGAACCAGCGGAGGGAUCAUUAUCGUGUUUAUAACUCCCAAACCCUAUGUGAACUUACCACUUGUUGCUUCGGCGCGCGCUUCGGUGCCGCCGAGGACACUUAAACUCUUUGUUUUUAUAAGCAUUUCUGAGUGGCCGAAAGGCAAAAUACAAAUGAAUCAAAACUUUCAACAACGGAUCUCUUGGUUCUG
Molecule: unclassified non-coding RNA, 201 nt
Filed under: plant metagenome
Description: partial contains small subunit ribosomal RNA, internal transcribed spacer 1, and 5.8S ribosomal RNA
Source: RNAcentral